Molecule: transfer RNA, 86 nt
Filed under: Lachnospiraceae bacterium JC7
Lineage: Bacteria; Bacillati; Bacillota; Clostridia; Lachnospirales; Lachnospiraceae
Also listed under: 5 other names
Description: tRNA-Leu
Rfam family: tRNA
About the family: Transfer RNA (tRNA) molecules are approximately 80 nucleotides in length. Their secondary structure includes four short double-helical elements and three loops (D, anti-codon, and T loops).
Source: RNAcentral
GCCGGUAUGGCGGAAUAGGCAGACGCUCGGGACUUAAAAUCCCGUGCCCAGUGAUGGGCGUGCCGGUUCGACCCCGGCUACCGGCA